GGCCACAGCCAUAUCACCCUGCAGCCCAAGACUGGUUGCCUACUGAAGCUAAGCAGGGUUGAGCCUGGUCAGUACCUGGAUGGGAGACCUCCUGGGAAAACUAGGUUGCUGUUGGAA
This 117-nucleotide ribosomal RNA is filed under the name Sinocyclocheilus grahami. Lineage: Eukaryota; Metazoa; Chordata; Actinopteri; Cypriniformes; Cyprinidae. The record is from RNAcentral.